GGCCCAGUAGUUUCAGAGGAGAAGAUUUUUGUAAAAGAUAACUAAGAUUUACGGAAAAUGGUUAAAAAUUGACUAUAAAGGGCCAUAACUCCUAAAGGGGUCAACUGACCAUUUCGGUCAUGUUGACUUAUUUGUAAAUCUUACUUUGCUGAACAUUUUUGCUGUUUACAGUUUAUCUCUAUCUAUAAUAAUAUUCAUGAUAAUAACCAAAAACAGCAAAAUUUCCUUAAAAUAACCAAUUCAGAGGCAGCAACCUAACAAUCGGUUGUCUGAUUCAUCUGAAAAUUUCAGGGCAGAUAGAUCUUGACCUGAUAAACCAUUUAACCUCUGUCAGAUUUGCUCUAAAUGCUUUGGUUUUUGAGUUAUAAGCCAAAAACUGAUUUUACCCCUAUGUUCUAUUUUUAGCCAAGGUGGCCAUCUUGGUUGGUUGGCCGGGUCACCGGACACAAUUUUUAAACUAGAUACCCCAAUGAUGAUUGUUGCCAAGUUUGGUUCAAUUUGGCCCAGUAGUUUUAGAGGAGAAGAUUUUUGUAAAAGAUAACUAAGAUUUACGGAAAAUGGUUAAAAAUUGACUAUAAAGGGCCAUAACUCCUAAAGGGGUCAACUGACCAUUUUGGUCAUGUUGAC
Molecule: long non-coding RNA, 627 nt
Filed under: Mytilus galloprovincialis (Mediterranean mussel)
Lineage: Eukaryota; Metazoa; Mollusca; Bivalvia; Mytilida; Mytilidae
Source: RNAcentral